UACGAAGGGGGCUAGCGUUGCUCGGAAUCACUGGGCGUAAAGCGCACGUAGGCGGAUCUUUAAGUCAGGGGUGAAAUCCCGGAGCUCAACUCCGGAACUGCCUUUGAUACUGAAGAUCUUGAGUUCGGGAGAGGUGAGUGGAACUGCGAGUGUAGAGGUGAAAUUCGUAGAUAUUCGCAAGAACACCAGUGGCGAAGGCGGCUCACUGGCCCGGUUCUGACGCUGAGGCGCGAAAGCGUGGGGAGCAAACAGG
Molecule: ribosomal RNA, 253 nt
Filed under: uncultured bacterium
Lineage: Bacteria
Description: partial 16S ribosomal RNA
Rfam family: Bacterial small subunit ribosomal RNA
Source: RNAcentral